UCCAUUCUGCCCAGCGUCAAGAGCCCCGAGUUGAUAUCCGACCCGAGAUCCGGCUGCGCCAGCACCCGAUCCGCGAUCAUCUCCACCGUCACGUUCAUCCUCGCCGUGCGCCGCGCCCGCGCCCUCCCCGCGGGGCCGCGCGCCUUGCCGACCGCCGCGCCGCGGUAGAACAGCGCCGACGUCGUCUCCGGGUACCGGAAUGACGCGAAGUUGGGGUUCUUCACCGACACGUCGGCGGUCAGCGACAUGUUGCUGCCUGGCCGUGGCGUGGCGAUGCCGUUGAUCAGAUCCGCGCCGCAGCAGCUGCAGCAGCGGAGGAGUUGCCGCUGCUGUUUGACGGUGAAUUUGAUAUCUCGGAGAGUUCGAUGAAGAGCUGCCUGAGCGGUUUGGCUGACCUCUGCCGGUGGUGGUCGGCUGAAAGCCGUCUUCCGGCCGUGGCGUAUGGCAGUGGACGGUGGCAAUCCCGGCCCCGAUGGCUCCCGAUGAUGAAGGGUCCGGGUUGGUUGCCGGCUGUAGCCGGGCGGCCUCCCAUCUCACUCUUGAGAAUGCCGACUCGGCUGAGGGAACUUCCUUGAGAAUGUCCCGACGAAGUCUGUCAUAUCUCCUAUCAAAUCCGGAGAGGAACUGAAAUAAUCGGUGAUUUCCGAUCAGUUUUCUGUGCUUAUUGAUCCCUUCUUCACACCAGUCGAGUGGAUUUGGGUAAGUUCGAUCCAUUCUGUGGAUUUGUUGAAUUGAUUCAUUUGAAUCUGUUUGGUUUAUGGCUUCAAUCUCUCCUGGCAUUUUUUUUUCAGGAAAUGAAGAACAGAGGUUUUGGUUUGGUGUAUUGGUUAGGAAUGGUUUGGUGUAUUGGCUAGGAAUGGUUUUGGUUUUGGAUUAUGAACGAUGAUGAUUCGUUUCUGAGUUCCUAUGGUUGAACCUGCUGAACCUGCUCUGAGACCAUGUUAAAA
RNAcentral lists this long non-coding RNA (947 nucleotides) under Salvia miltiorrhiza (redroot sage). Its description in RNAcentral is "long non-coding RNA (SMIL_LNC005649)". Lineage: Eukaryota; Viridiplantae; Streptophyta; Magnoliopsida; Lamiales; Lamiaceae. The record is from RNAcentral.